UUCAAGAUAAGAUUUCCCACCGCAAGGGUAAGACCCCAGAAAGACUAUCUGGUUGAUAGGUCGAAGGUGUAAGUGCAGCAAUGUAUUUAGCUUAUCGAUACUAAUAGGUCGAGGACUUGACCAAUAUUUAUU
Molecule: ribosomal RNA, 132 nt
Filed under: Clostridioides difficile
Lineage: Bacteria; Bacillati; Bacillota; Clostridia; Peptostreptococcales; Peptostreptococcaceae
Description: partial 23S ribosomal RNA
Rfam family: Bacterial large subunit ribosomal RNA
Source: RNAcentral